RNAcentral lists this ribosomal RNA (253 nucleotides) under uncultured bacterium. Its description in RNAcentral is "partial 16S ribosomal RNA". It matches the Rfam family "Bacterial small subunit ribosomal RNA", at positions 524 to 776 of the family's 1533-position model. The record is from RNAcentral.
UACGUAGGGUGCAAGCGUUGUCCGGAAUUAUUGGGCGUAAAGGGUGCGUAGGCGGUUUGAUAAGUCUGAUGUGAAAUCUAUGGGCUCAACCCAUAGUCUGCAUUAGAAACUGUCGGGCUUGAGUAUGGGAGAGGUGAGUGGAAUUUCCGGUGUAGCGGUGAAAUGCGUAGAUAUCGGAAGGAACACCUGUGGCGAAAGCGGCUCACUGGACCAUUACUGACGCUGAUGCACGAAAGCUAGGGGAGCAAACAGG